CUAAUACAUGCAAGUCGAGCGAACAGAGAAGGAGCUUGCUCCUUUGACGUUAGCGGCGGACGGGUGAGUAACACGUGGGCAACCUACCUUAUAGUUUGGGAUAACUCCGGGAAACCGGGGCUAAUACCGAAUAAUCUGUUUCACCUCAUGGNGCAAUAUUGAAAGACGGUUUCGGGUGUCGCUAUAGGAUGGGCCCGCGGCGCGUUAGCUAGUUGGUGAGGUAACGGCUCACCAAGGCGACGAUGCGUAGCCGACCUGACAGGGNGAUCGGCCACACUGGGACUGAGACACGGCCCAGACUCCUACGGGAGGCAGCAGUAGGGAAUCUUCCACAAUGGGCGAAAGCCUGAUGGAGCAACGCCGCGUGAGUGAAGAANGAUUUCNNUUCGUAAAACUCUGUUGUAAGGGAAGAACAAGUACAGUAGUAACUGGCUGUACCUUGACGGUACCUUAUUAGAAAGCCACGGCUAACUACGUGCA
This 480-nucleotide ribosomal RNA is filed under the name uncultured bacterium. Its description in RNAcentral is "bacterial SSU rRNA". It matches the Rfam family "Bacterial small subunit ribosomal RNA", at positions 48 to 509 of the family's 1533-position model. The record is from RNAcentral.